This 3200-nucleotide long non-coding RNA is filed under the name Callithrix jacchus (white-tufted-ear marmoset). RNAcentral describes it as "lncRNA (ENSCJAG00000079870.1)". Lineage: Eukaryota; Metazoa; Chordata; Mammalia; Primates; Cebidae. The record is from RNAcentral.
CCUGAGAGAGCCUGUGCCCCUUGCAUCCAAAAUGCUGGUCUAGCAAACAGAUCCUUUCUCUUUGGAUCUGUGGGAUCCAAAGAGAAUCGCAACCCAGUGGGAGACCCAGUAAGCAUGAAGGAAAGAGAAGCAGACCCGGUGAGAGACUGAGGAACGAGCUAGGGCUGCUGCUGCUCUGGAGAGCACUGAGGAGCCACCAGGCCAGUAGGGCUGCAGUUUAGACCCUGACAUCAAAAGGCUGUGCCACCUGAGAAGUCCUGUGCUCCCUCACUGUCCCCGCAGUACCUCAGUGGCUCUGUUCCUUGCAGGCUGAACAACCCAAACUUGCCCCUGGACUCCUGCAAAAAUCCUUGGUCCAGAAGGGAGAAGCCCCAGCUAUGGCAUUAACUGCAGGGUGAUCUGAAUAAGUCACUCAGUCUCUCCCAAGCUCAAUUUUCCCAUCUGGAAACUGGGGAGAUCAAUCCCAGUUUCUCCAUAUCCUCCCACAAGACAUGAUGUGGGCAGGAGGUGGGGGCUGUGAGAAUAGAGUGAGAUCACAAAUUGGAAAACACAUGGAGACUCAGCAUCCAAUUACAAGUGAUUCAUCAUUUAUGCCUUAUGUGCACGAAAACACCAAAUGGCAAAUCCUCACCUUUGCCCUCCCUCAGGCCAUUCAGUCAAUCGGUACAGCUAGAGCUUCCAGUACAAUGUUGAAUAUAAGUGGUGACAGCAGACUUUCUUGUCUUGUUUUUGAUCCUAUGGGAAAGUUUUCAGUCCUUCACCAUUAAGUACAAUGUUAGCUGUGAGUUUUUGUAGAUUCCCUUUAUUAGGUGAGGAAGUUUCCUUCUAUUUCUAGUGUUUUAAAAAAUUAUGAAAGGGGCCAAGCAUGGUAGCUCACACCUGUAAUCCCACUACUUUGGGAGGCCAAGGUAGACAGAUCACUUGAGAUCAAGAGUUUAAGACCAGCCUGACCAACCUGGCAAAACCCCAUCUCUACUAAAAAUACAAAAAUUAGCUGGGUGUGGUGGUGCAUGCCUGUAAUUGCAACUACUCAGGGGGCUAGGCAGGAGACUUGCUUGAAUCGAGGAGGAGGAGUUUGCAUUGAGUCAAGAUCUUGCCACUACACUCCAGCCUGGGUGACAGAACAAGACUCUUUCUCAAAAAUAAAAUAAAAUAAAAUAAUAAAAGGGAAGUAGAUUUUGUCAAAUGCUCUUUCUGACUCUAUUAACCUCAAUUUUUUUUUUGAGAGUCUCACUCUAUUGCACAGGUUGGGGUACAGUAGCAUGAUCUCGGCUUACUGCAACUUCUGCUUCCUGGGUUCAAGUGGUUUUCAUGCCUCAUCCUCCCAGGCAGCUGAGACUACAGGCAUGCAGCCCCAUGCCCAGCUAAUUUUUUGUUGUUGUUUCUUUGAGAUGGAAUCUCACUCUGUUGCCCAGGCUGGAGUGCAAGUGGUGUAAUCUCAGCUCACUGCAAUCUCCACCUCCUGGGAUGAAGCCAUUCCCCUGCCUCAGCCUCCCAGGUAGCUGGGACUACAGGCAUGUGCUACCAUGCCUGGCUAAUUUUUGUAUAUUUAGUAGAGAUGAGGUUUCACCAUUUUGGCCAGGCUGGUCUUGAACUCCUGACUUCAGGUUAUCCACCUAUCUCAGCCUCCCAAAGUGCUGGGAUUACAGGUAUGAGCCACUGUACCCGGCCAAAUUUUUGUAUUUUUAGUAGAGACAGGGUUUCACCAUGUUGGCCAGGCUAGUCUCAAACUCCCAGCCUCAAGUGAUCUGCCCAUCUGGCCUCUCAAAGUGUUGGGAUUACAGGUGUGAGCCACUACACCCAACUCUUUCUGACUCUAUUGAGAUGGUUAUGUGUUUUUUGUUCUUUAUUCUAUUGAUAAGGUCUAUUACAUUAAUUGAUUUUUCAGAUAUUAAACCAACCUUAAAUUCCUAGGAUAAAUUCCUUUUAUAGUACAAAAUCCUUUUUACAUGUCACUGGAUUCAGCUUGGUGAUUUUUUUUUUUUUAAGAAUCUCUGAAUCCAUAUUCAUUAGCAAUAUUACUCUGUAGUUUUCUUAUGAUGUCUUUGUCUGGUUUUGAUGUCAGAGUAAUAUUGACCUCAUAGAAUAAGUUGGGAAAUGUUCUCUUCUAAUUUUUGGAAGAGUUUGGGAGGAACUGGUAUUAAAUCUUUAAGUGUUUGGUAGAAUUUAUAUUUUAUAUUGCUAAGCUGUACUUGAUUAUAUGAAUAUACCACAAUUUAUCUAUCCAUUCACCUGUUGAUAAGAUAUUUGGGUUCUUUCCAGUUUUAGAAUAAACCUGCUAUAAACAUUAGUGUAAUCUUUGUAUGGAUGUAUGUUUUCAUAUUCUUGGGUAAAUAUUUACAGUGGAAUUGCUGGAUCAUUUGGUAGAUGCAUGGUAACUUUAUGAGAAAGUUCCAGACCAAUUUUCAAAGUGGUUGCAUCACUUCCACCAACAAUAUAUGAGACUUUUGCUUACUCUCUGCAGCCUUACCACUUAAGCUGUUGCCACCCUUUGAUUUUAGCCAUUCUAAUGGGCAUGUAGUGAUAUCACAAUGUCAUUUUCAUUUACAUUUUGUUGAAUAACACUAAAACACUUUCAUGUGCUUAUUGGCCCUUGGCAUAUCUUCCUUUGAUGCCUGUUCUUAUUUUUUGCCCAUUUUUUAAAAAUUAGAUUUUUUUUUUUUUUUGAGAUGGAGUUUCACUCUUGUUGCCCAGGCUGGAGUGCAACGGUGUAAUCUUGGCUCACUGCAACCUCUGUCUCCUGGGUUCAAGUGAUUCUCCUGCCUUAGCCUCCCGGGUAGCUGGGAUUACAGGCAUGCGCCACCACACCUGGCUAAUUUUUGUAUUUUUAGUAGAGGCAGGGUUUCUCCAUGCUGGUCAGGCUGGUCUCGAACUCCUGACCUCAGGUGAUCCACCCACCCUUGGCCUCCCAAAGUGUUGAUUUACAGGCGUGAGCCACUGUACCCAAGUCCCUAAAUAGAUUUUAAUUGGGUCUUCUUAAUAUUGAGCUGCAGAGGUUUUUAAUAUAUGUUGGAUAAAAGCUUUUGUCAAAUAUAUAGAUGUAGAGAGACCGAGAUAUAUGCACGGUGAUAACUUACUCACAUUCUGUGGUUUUCCUACUCAUUUCUUAAUGGUAUCUUUUUCUUAACAGAAGCUUUAGAUUUUGAUGAAUUCUAUUUUAUUGAUGUUUCUUUUAUGGUUGCUGCUUUCUGGGUCCUAAA